This 468-nucleotide ribosomal RNA is filed under the name uncultured bacterium. Its description in RNAcentral is "partial 16S ribosomal RNA". It matches the Rfam family "Bacterial small subunit ribosomal RNA", at positions 28 to 507 of the family's 1533-position model. The record is from RNAcentral.
GACGAACGCUGGCGGCGUGCUUAACACAUGCAAGUCGAACGGAAAGGCCCUGCUUUUGUGGGGUGCUCGAGUGGCGAACGGGUGAGUAACACGUGAGUAACCUGCCCUUGACUUUGGGAUAACUUCAGGAAACUGGGGCUAAUACCGGAUAGGAGCUCCUGCUGCAUGGUGGGGGUUGGAAAGUUUCGGCGGUUGGGGAUGGACUCGCGGCUUAUCAGCUUGUUGGUGGGGUAGUGGCUUACCAAGGCUUUGACGGGUAGCCGGCCUGAGAGGGUGACCGGCCACAUGGGGACUGAGAUACGGACCAGUAUCCUACGGGAGGCAGCAGUGGGGAAUAUUGCACAAUGGGCGGAAGCCUGAUGCAGCAACGCCGCGUGCGGGAUGACGGCCUUCGGGUUGUAAACCGCUUUCGCCUGUGACGAAGCGUGAGUGACGGUAAUGGGUAAAGAAGCACCGGCUAACUACGUG